UGUUCUUUCGUCGUAGCUGGUGCCGGUUUAAAAGCCGGAGAAUAGGGAAUUACGUGAAAAUCGUAAACUGUACCCGCAACUGUACAACGGUAAGCUGCCAAUAACACUCCAUGGCCAUCAUGGAUUGUCGAAAGCAGUCGUUUCAGGUCACUGCACUCUUUUCCUCCCUGGAAAACUGCGGGAAGGCCUGCAACAGUAUGAAGCCGUUAUAGUCAGGAGACCUGCCAGUUAUUUUUGCAUUAC
Molecule: non-coding RNA, 243 nt
Filed under: Pelodictyon phaeoclathratiforme
Lineage: Bacteria; Pseudomonadati; Chlorobiota; Chlorobiia; Chlorobiales; Chlorobiaceae
Also listed under: 1 other name
Source: RNAcentral